GUGGGGAAUAUUGGACAAUGGGGGGAACCCUGAUCCAGCCAUGCCGCGUGUGUGAAGAAGGCCUUUUGGUUGUAAAGCACUUUAAGCGAGGAGGAGGCUACCGAGAUUAAUACUCUUGGAUAGUGGACGUUACUCGCAGAAUAAGCACCGGCUAACUCUGUGCCAGCAGCCGCGGUAAUACAGAGGUUGCGAGCGUUAAUCGGAUUUACUGGGCGUAAAGCGUGCGUAGGCGGCUUUUUACGUCGGAUGUGAAAUCCCCGAGCUUAACUUGGGAAUUGCAUUCGAUACUGGGAAGCUAGAGGAUGGGAGAGGAUGGUAGAAUUCCAGGUGUAGCGGUGAAAUGCGUAGAGAUCUGGAGGAAUACCGAUGGCGAAGGCAGCCAUCUGGCCUAAUACUGACGCUGAGGUACGAAAGCAUGGGGAGCAAACAGGAUUAGAAACCCGUGUAGUCC
RNAcentral lists this ribosomal RNA (451 nucleotides) under uncultured bacterium. RNAcentral's name for it is "partial 16S ribosomal RNA". It matches the Rfam family "Bacterial small subunit ribosomal RNA", at positions 354 to 796 of the family's 1533-position model. The record is from RNAcentral.